AUUGAACGCUGGCGGCAUGCCUUACACAUGCAAGUCGAACGGCAGCACGGGUGCUUGCACCUGGUGGCGAGUGGCGAACGGGUGAGUAAUACAUCGGCACAUGUCCUGUAGUGGGGGAUAGCCCGGCGAAAGCCGGAUUAAUACCGCAUACGAUCUACGGAUGAAAGCGGGGGACCUUCGGGCCUCGCGCUAUAGGGUUGGCCGAUGGCUGAUUAGCUAGUUGGUGGGGUAAAGGCCUACCAAGGCGACGAUCAGUAGCUGGUCUGAGAGGACGACCAGCCACACUGGGACUGAGACACGGCCCAGACUCCUACGGGAGGCAGCAGUGGGGAAUUUUGGACAAUGGGCGAAAGCCUGAUCCAGCAAUGCCGCGUGUGUGAAGAAGGCCUUCGGGUUGUAAAGCACUUUUGUCCGGAAAGAAAUCCUUGGCCCUAAUACGGUCGUGUGAUGACGGUACCGGAAGAAUAAGCACCGGCUAACUACGUG
Molecule: ribosomal RNA, 486 nt
Filed under: uncultured bacterium
Lineage: Bacteria
Description: partial 16S ribosomal RNA
Rfam family: Bacterial small subunit ribosomal RNA
Source: RNAcentral